Molecule: ribosomal RNA, 465 nt
Filed under: uncultured bacterium
Lineage: Bacteria
Description: partial 16S ribosomal RNA
Rfam family: Bacterial small subunit ribosomal RNA
Source: RNAcentral
GACGAACGCUGGCGGCGUGCUUAACACAUGCAAGUCGAACGGAAAGGCCCUGCUUGCAGGGUACUCGAGUGGCGAACGGGUGAGUAACACGUGGGUGAUCUGCCCUGCACUUCGGGAUAAGCCUGGGAAACUGGGUCUAAUACCGGAUAGGGGCCAUUUUUAGUGUGGUGGUUGGAAAGUUUUUUCGGUGUAGGAUGAGCUCGCGGCCUAUCAGCUUGUUGGUGGGGUAAUGGCCUACCAAGGCGGCGACGGGUAGCCGGCCUGAGAGGGUGGACGGCCACAUUGGGACUGAGAUACGGCCCAGACUCCUACGGGAGGCAGCAGUGGGGAAUAUUGCACAAUGGGCGCAAGCCUGAUGCAGCGACGCCGCGUGGGGGAUGACGGCCUUCGGGUUGUAAACUCCUUUCGCUAGGGACGAAGCUUUUUGUGACGGUACCUAGAUAAGAAGCACCGGCUAACUACGUG